Molecule: ribosomal RNA, 550 nt
Filed under: uncultured bacterium
Lineage: Bacteria
Description: bacterial SSU rRNA
Rfam family: Bacterial small subunit ribosomal RNA
Source: RNAcentral
UGGGGAAUAUUGGACAAUGGGCGAAAGCCUGAUCCAGCCAUGCCGCGUGGGUGAAGAAGGCCUUCGGGUCGUAAAGCCCUUUCGGACGGGACGAAAGUUCCGCGGGGAUAAUCCGCGGAGCCUGACGGUACCGUAGGAAGAAGCACCGGCUAACUCCGUGCCAGCAGCCGCGGUAAUACGGAGGGUGCAAGCGUUGUUCGGAAUUACUGGGCGUAAAGCGCGUGUAGGCGGCCUUGUAAGUCAGAUGUGAAAGCCCUCGGCUCAACCGGGGAAGUGCAUCUGAAACGGCAAGGCUUGAGUACGGGAGAGGGAGGCGGAAUUCCCAGUGUAGAGGUGAAAUUCGUAGAUAUUGGGAGGAACACCGGUGGCGAAAGCGGCCUCCUGGACCGAUACUGACGCUGAGACGCGAAAGCGUGGGGAGCAAACAGGAUUAGAUACCCUGGUAGUCCACGCGGUAAACGAUGGGCACUAGGUGUGGGGGGUAUCCACUCCUCCCGUGCCGCAGCUAACGCAUUAAGUGCCCCGCCUGGGGAGUACGGCCGCAAGGCUA